UCCUUCUCUUGAUCCCAAAGAAACUUGUGGUUCUCUCUGAUGACAUCGUGAUCAGUCUUGUCUCGGGACCUCGAAACGUCAAGUGCUGCUUGUUACAAAUUUUAUCCAAUUACAACCUUCGUGUGCUAUUAAUGAAUGAUAGAGCCAUCGCAAGGAAAUGCCAGUGAAGGCCUGAGCAGUAUUCUUAAGUCAUAAAACAAUUAUGGUGCGCUACUUUAAGACAAAGGUUUAAAACAUAAAACAUUGUCUUAAGAGUACAAGACAGCCAUUCCGAUAAAAAGGAUAAAACAAUUUUGAAGGACAACUGUUCGAGAAGAAAGCACAGAUCCACUCAUACUUUUGUAUUACAAUCCCAUACAGCAGCACGCAUGUCCAAAAGACAUCUUUAAGACAUCUUUAAGUCGUCUUUUAGACAUACAUAUCUUAAAGACGUCUUAACUGGUCUUAACGAUGUCUUUCAGACAUGAGUGCCGCGUGGGAUGUUAAAUAAUAUAGUGUAACUUAUAAUUACAGAAUACAACGAACAACUUGGAUCAGAUAUAAUUCUCAGGGACACUCCCGGCGUAGUGAAUCGCCUAAGAG
This is a long non-coding RNA of Vollenhovia emeryi, 582 nucleotides long. RefSeq lists it as uncharacterized. The transcript is spliced from 2 exons. NCBI's taxonomy places the organism in Eukaryota, Metazoa, Arthropoda, Insecta, Hymenoptera, Formicidae. The record is from RefSeq and is a predicted model, not a curated record.